This 430-nucleotide long non-coding RNA is filed under the name Cucumis sativus (cucumber). RNAcentral describes it as "long non-coding RNA (CSAT_LNC001378)". Lineage: Eukaryota; Viridiplantae; Streptophyta; Magnoliopsida; Cucurbitales; Cucurbitaceae. The record is from RNAcentral.
AAAGAGUAAAUGAAUUGUAAGUUAUAAAAUAAAUAAAUCAUACGAUUGAAAAAAGUAUAUAUUUAUUUGAAUGAAUCUCAAUAAAUAAUUAUGACAGCAAAAAAAACUCAAUUAAUAAUUAUGCUUUUGGAGGGGACUUUCUUUUAGUCCUCCCUCUUCUCUUAAUGUCUCUAAUGAUCUCAUCUUUGAUACCAAUUCCUCUGCAGCGAGAGAUCGGAUUACACCCUCCAACUCCUUGAGUAUUAAUUAGACUUGCAUCGUCAUCGAGUUUCUUUUUGUCAAGAGGAACCUUUCUCGCUGCAUUUGUUAUGUCGAUGCUAAUCAAGAAAAUGAGGAUAAAGGUAAACACAAUUACUUUUGAGAUGCUCAUUAUACCAAAAGUAAAUGCAACGAGAUGAAAGUUGAGAUUGAUUUUGAUGUUAAAACUUUU